CCCGCUGAGUUUAAGUAUAUCAAUAAGCGAAGGAAAAGAAACUUACUAGGAUUCCCCUAGUAACGGUGAGCGAACCGGGAAUAGCCCAGCUUGAGAAUCAGGUGCCCUCGGCGUUCGAAUUGUAGUCUGGAGAAGCUUCCUCAACGGCAGACCGGGCCCAUAUCCCCUAGAAAGGGGCGCUAGAGAGGGUGAGAGCCCCGUCGUGCCCGGACCCUGUCGCACCACGAGGUGCUGUCUACGAGUAAGGUUGUUUGGGAAUGUAGUCGAAAUCGGGCAGUAAAUUCAAUCCAAGGCUAAAUACGGGCAAGAGACCGAUAGCAAACAAGUACCGCGACGGAAAGAUGAAAAGGACUUUGGAAAGAGAGUCAAAGAGUGCUUAAAAUUGUAAGGAUGGAAGCGGAUGGGGGCCAGUGAUGCGCCUCAAUCGGACGUGGAACAGCCAAAAGCUGGUCCGCCGAUUGGCUCGGGGUGCGGACCGACGCGGAUUGCAGAGGCGGCCCAAGCCUAGGCUUUUGAUAUGCCUGCGGAGAUGCCGUCGCAGCGAUUAUGGACUGCAGGGCGCACCAUCACGGCGUGCUUUGGCACUUGUGUGCUCCGGGCGUCGGCCAGCGGGCUCCCCAUUCAACCCGUGAUGG
RNAcentral lists this non-coding RNA (635 nucleotides) under Ricinus communis (castor bean). Its description in RNAcentral is "Eukaryotic large subunit ribosomal RNA". It matches the Rfam family "Eukaryotic large subunit ribosomal RNA", at positions 24 to 657 of the family's 3401-position model. The record is from Rfam by way of RNAcentral. Lineage: Eukaryota; Viridiplantae; Streptophyta; Magnoliopsida; Malpighiales; Euphorbiaceae.